RNAcentral lists this ribosomal RNA (484 nucleotides) under uncultured bacterium. Its description in RNAcentral is "partial 16S ribosomal RNA". It matches the Rfam family "Bacterial small subunit ribosomal RNA", at positions 30 to 507 of the family's 1533-position model. The record is from RNAcentral.
AUUGAACGCUGGCGGCAGGCCUAACACAUGCAAGUCGAGCGGAUGAAGGGUGCUUGCUCCUGGAUUCAGCGGCGGACGGGUGAGUAAUGCCUAGGAAUCUGGCUGGGAGUGGGGGAUAACGUCCGGAAACGGGCGCUAAUACCGCAUACGUCCUGAGGGAGAAAGUGGGGGAUCUUCGGACCUCACGCUAUCAGAUGAGCCUAGGUCGGAUUAGCUAGUUGGUGGGGUAAAGGCCUACCAAGGCGACGAUCCGUAACUGGUCUGAGAGGAUGAUCAGUCACACUGGAACUGAGACACGGUCCAGACUCCUACGGGAGGCAGCAGUGGGGAAUAUUGGACAAUGGGCGAAAGCCUGAUCCAGCCAUGCCGCGUGUGUGAAGAAGGUCUUCGGAUUGUAAAGCACUUUAGGUUGGGAGGAAAGGCAGUAAGUUAAUACCUUGCUGUUUUGACGUUACCAACAGAAUAAGCACCGGCUAACUUCGUG